This 76-nucleotide small RNA is filed under the name Xanthomonas sp. LMG 8992. Its description in RNAcentral is "sX9 sRNA". It matches the Rfam family "Xanthomonas sRNA sX9". The record is from RNAcentral. RNAcentral also lists the same sequence under 1 other name. Lineage: Bacteria; Pseudomonadati; Pseudomonadota; Gammaproteobacteria; Lysobacterales; Lysobacteraceae.
AUGUACCACUCAUGCACUGCGGUUCCUGCGCGCCGUCCGCACCCAUCUGGCGACUGCUCGCGACGUUGCGUUAGCG